GCAGUGAGCCAGAUGAUCGCCGUUGGGUGUUGCGAGUGCAGCGCUCGAGGGAGGAAAGUCCGAACUCCGCAGGGCAGUGCGCCGGGUAACGCCCGGUCAGGGUAACUUGAAGGACAGUGGCACAGAAAACAUACCGCUCGCCUUCGCCGGGUCCGCCCGGCGGAGGCGAGUAAGGGUGAAAAGGUGCGGUAAGAGCGCACCGCGCCGGUGGUAACACGGGUGGCAGGCAAAACCCCGCACGGAGCAAGACCAAAUAGGGAAGCGCUCGAGGACGGCCCGUCCGAAGCUUCCGGGUCGGUCGCUUGAUCUCGCCAGUAAUGGCGAGGCUAGAGGAAUGAUUGUCGCCACGCCGGCGGCCGCAAGGGUGCCGGCUGGGACAGAAUUCGGCUUACGGCUCGCUGCGAAC
RNAcentral lists this RNase P RNA (406 nucleotides) under Acidobacteriota bacterium. RNAcentral describes it as "Acidobacteria bacterium RNase P RNA component class A". It matches the Rfam family "Bacterial RNase P class A". From Rfam's summary of the family: Ribonuclease P (RNase P) is a ubiquitous endoribonuclease, found in archaea, bacteria and eukarya as well as chloroplasts and mitochondria. Its best characterised activity is the generation of mature 5'-ends of tRNAs by cleaving the 5'-leader elements of precursor-tRNAs. Lineage: Bacteria; Pseudomonadati; Acidobacteriota. The record is from RNAcentral.